CCUACGGGGGGCUGCAGUGGGGAAUAUUGGACAAUGGGGGGAACCCUGAUCCAGCCAUGCCGCGUGUGUGAAGAAGGCCCUCGGGUUGUAAAGCACUUUCAGUGAGGAAGAACGCCUGGUGGUUAAUACCCAUCAGGAAAGACAUCACUCACAGAAGAAGCACCGGCUAACUCCGUGCCAGCAGCCGCGGUAAUACGGAGGGUGCGAGCGUUAAUCGGAAUUACUGGGCGUAAAGCGCGCGUAGGUGGCUUGAUAAGCCGGUUGUGAAAGCCCCGGGAUCAACCUGGGAACGGCAUCCGGAACUGUCAAGCUAGAGUGCAGGAGAGGAAGGUAGAAUUCCCGGUGUAGCGGUGAAAUGCGUAGAGAUCGGGAGGAAUACCAGUGGCGAAGGCGGCCUUCUGGACUGACACUGACACUGAGGUGCGAAAGCGUGGGUAGCAAACAGGAUUAGAUACCCUAGUAGUC
This 465-nucleotide ribosomal RNA is filed under the name Vreelandella stevensii. RNAcentral describes it as "partial 16S ribosomal RNA". It matches the Rfam family "Bacterial small subunit ribosomal RNA", at positions 338 to 795 of the family's 1533-position model. Lineage: Bacteria; Pseudomonadati; Pseudomonadota; Gammaproteobacteria; Oceanospirillales; Halomonadaceae. The record is from RNAcentral.